GCGGGUAUAGCUCAAUGGUAGAGUCUCAGCCUUCCAAGCUGACUAUGUGGGUUCGAUUCCCACUAUCCGCU
RNAcentral lists this transfer RNA (71 nucleotides) under Ehrlichia cf. muris str. EmCRT. RNAcentral's name for it is "tRNA-Gly". It matches the Rfam family "tRNA". Rfam says of the family: Transfer RNA (tRNA) molecules are approximately 80 nucleotides in length. Their secondary structure includes four short double-helical elements and three loops (D, anti-codon, and T loops). Further hydrogen bonds mediate the characteristic L-shaped molecular structure. tRNAs have two regions of fundamental functional importance: the anti-codon, which is responsible for specific mRNA codon recognition, and the 3' end, to which the tRNAs corresponding amino acid is attached (by aminoacyl-tRNA synthetases). tRNAs cope with the degeneracy of the genetic code in two manners: having more than one tRNA (with a specific anti-codon) for a particular amino acid; and 'wobble' base-pairing, i.e. permitting non-standard base-pairing at the 3rd anti-codon position. RNAcentral also lists the same sequence under 2 other names. The record is from RNAcentral. Lineage: Bacteria; Pseudomonadati; Pseudomonadota; Alphaproteobacteria; Rickettsiales; Anaplasmataceae.